Molecule: transfer RNA, 72 nt
Filed under: Anaerolineae bacterium
Lineage: Bacteria; Bacillati; Chloroflexota; Anaerolineae
Description: tRNA-Gly
Rfam family: tRNA
About the family: Transfer RNA (tRNA) molecules are approximately 80 nucleotides in length.
Source: RNAcentral
GCGGGUGUAGCCAAGUGGUAAGGCAGUAGCUUCCCAAGCUACCACUCACGAGUUCGAAUCUCGUCACCCGCU